AGAGUUUGAUCAUGGCUCAGAACGAACGCUGGCGGCAGGCCUAACACAUGCAAGUCGAACGCCCCGCAAGGGGAGUGGCAGACGGGUGAGUAACGCGUGGGAACAUACCCUUCGGUUCGGAAUAGCUCAGGGAAACUUGGAUUAAUACCGGAUACGUCCGUAAGGAGAAAGAUUUAUCGCCGAAGGAUUGGCCCGCGUCUGAUUAGCUUGUUGGUGAGGUAAUGGCUCACCAAGGCGACGAUCAGUAGCUGGUCUGAGAGGAUGACCAGCCACAUUGGGACUGAGACACGGCCCAAACUCCUACGGGAGGCAGCAGUGGGGAAUAUUGGACAAUGGGCGAAAGCCUGAUCCAGCCAUGCCGCGUGAGUGAUGAAGGCCUUAGGGUUGUAAAGCUCUUUUACCCGGGAAGAUAAUGACGGUACCGGGAGAAUAAGCCCCGGCUAACUUCGUGCCAGCAGCCGCGGUAAUACGAAGGGGGCUAGCGUUGUUCGGAAUUACUGGGCGUAAAGCGCACGUAGGCGGAUUUUUAAGUCAGGGGUGAAAUCCCGAGGCUCAACCUCGGAACUGCCUUUGAUACUGGGAAUCUUGAGUCCGGGAGAGGUGAGUGGAACUGCGAGUGUAGAGGUGAAAUUCGUAGAUAUUCGCAAGAACACCAGUGGCGAAGGCGGCUCACUGGCCCGGUACUGACGCUGAGGUGCGAAAGCGUGGGGAGCAAACAGGAUUAGAUACCCUGGUAGUCCACGCCGUAAACGAUGGAUGCUAGCCGUUAGACAGCUUGCUGUUUAGUGGCGCAGUUAACGCUUUAAGCAUCCCGC
This 815-nucleotide ribosomal RNA is filed under the name uncultured bacterium. RNAcentral describes it as "bacterial SSU rRNA". It matches the Rfam family "Bacterial small subunit ribosomal RNA", at positions 8 to 872 of the family's 1533-position model. The record is from RNAcentral.